GCCAGGUGUGGUGGUGCACGCCUGUAGUCCCAGCUACUUGGGAGGCUGAGGCAGGAAGAUGGCUUGGGCCCAGGAAGUCCAAGGCUGCAGUGAGCUAUGAUCGCACCACUGCACUCCAGCCUGGGCAACAGAGCCAGACCCUAUCUUUA
This is an unclassified non-coding RNA of Macaca fascicularis (crab-eating macaque), 149 nucleotides long. It matches the Rfam family "Metazoan signal recognition particle RNA". Rfam says of the family: The signal recognition particle (SRP) is a universally conserved ribonucleoprotein. It is involved in the co-translational targeting of proteins to membranes. The record is from Ensembl. Lineage: Eukaryota; Metazoa; Chordata; Mammalia; Primates; Cercopithecidae.